GUCCAGACGGUAGGAUGGCAACGACAUCCUUUUUCUGGCUUCUUUAGACAGAAAAAGAUAUAGUGUACAGCGGGACUGGAG
RNAcentral lists this small RNA (81 nucleotides) under Flavobacterium frigidimaris. RNAcentral describes it as "Flavo-1 RNA". It matches the Rfam family "Flavo-1 RNA". Lineage: Bacteria; Pseudomonadati; Bacteroidota; Flavobacteriia; Flavobacteriales; Flavobacteriaceae. The record is from RNAcentral.